CUCCUUUCUAUAUUUGUAACUCCCUUCUCUGACAGUCAGAAAGUUGGGUAACUCUCAUCAUCCAUAUAUAUAGUUACUUUUUAUCAGUCUUUCUGUCUUUAACAAUCUCCUUGUCUACCUUGGGCUUCAACAUCCUGCACUGGGCUGCCCCACCUCACAGAAGCCCCUAAUACCCUAAUACCCCAUUCGCAUUUACUCUUUACUCUGCUUGCAUUUUGACACCCUGUGCUGGGCUGCCACCCUCCCCACCUCUCACUCCACGCCCCCCUCCUCAUUUGUGUGGGCGUUGACACACUGUCUAUGCCCUUUGGCCUCCCACCUUAUUCUCCCUACCUAAUGGCUUUUGGACUGAAUUCCUCAAGAAGAGGAGGAGGGAGAAGGUACCUUGUUUUGUAGUUCAUAGGUCCCUGAAGCUGAGGAACCAUACCUGGACCUGAUUUGGAUGAUUAGACUCUGGACCUAGAGCCUGAGCCUGAAGUCAAGUUUUAAUGGGAUGAGCCUUUGGGAGAUCUUGGGAGAUUAAUGCAUUUUACACGUGGGAAGAAUCCAAAUAAUUUGUGGCCAGUGGGCAAACCAUGGAAGACCUAAAAAGAUGGCUGCCAAUUCCUUACCCCUCCUCCUCUUGAAUCCGGCCUGCCCUGUAACUUGUUUUAGCUAAAAUUUCCACAGAAGUGACCUUAAGGCUGGGCCCUAAGAGAUCUGCAUCUUCUUACUUUGCUCUGGAAAUGCUCCUGAGAGGUCCACGUGGAGAAGAAGCAAGGCCCCUGACCCACGACCCAUUCUGACCCAGCCCCCAGCCAGCACCAACUGCCAGCCAUGUGAAUGAGGCCAUUUGGAACCUCCAGCUGUGCCAGAGCCCAACUGACUCUAGGUGAAGCUGAACCUACACGACUGUGAGAAAUUGGUGAAGCAGAAAUGUGAACUGGGAGGUACAUACAAAAGUGCCGUCAGAGGGCAGAGGAAAUUCCGCUAACCAGCUGAAGGCGGCCGGCAGGGAGAGGCAGAGAGCUGAGUGAUUCCGGGCAGAUAAGCCCUGGACGGCCCAGUCAGCACCCCGCCUUCCUUCUCCAGGUGUCUCCGAUGGGACGAAGUUUUCACCUGACAGAAUUGAGAGCGGAAAGAGCUGAAGGAAGUUUCUUUGGGUCUGUCUCUCUAACACCAGUUCAUGUUUGCACAGCUGGAUGAUGUUAUCAAGCAGGUUUCUGACCUGGACCUUUCUGAAGCGAGAAAUUUACUGAUUCUAGGUACCUCUGGAUGGGGGGGCUGGUGAGCCUGGUGUUCAAGAUUCUGUGGACUCUGCAUGUUCCCAAGGGAUAGACAGUUUGCAAGUGUUGUUCCUUUUCCUAGCUUCCUUGCCACAAAGAGGGCCCCAGGAUACACCUGGGACCCUAACCUCCCCUCAGCCCUGUCUCCUGGCCAUAAUCUGAACAUAUGGAAGACACAUCAGCAUUCCCCACCCCCUCCUUUUUCAGAUGAGGGACUGUUCUGACCCUUCCUCACUCAUUGGCCUGACAUUUUCUUCUUGGCAUAGGUGGUUGGCGUCAGCUUCACCCUCACCAGCUCCCUGGUGGAAAAACUUUUGACUUUUGUGUUCUAAAAUAGCUUAGCGAUAGUUCUUGCCUUCUCCCCUUCCCACAUUAGCAAGACGAUCAUAAGCAUUCAUUUAACAGGUGUUUUAACAAAUAUUUAUUCAGUGCCAACUCUGUGCUAGGUUCAGUUCUAGGAGCUGAGGAUUCAGUAGUGAACAAGAGAGAAAGUUCCUGCACUCACGGAACUAAUUUUCUAAUGAGGGAGACAGACAACAACAAAUAAAUGUAUAAGUGUAUAAUGUUGAGUAGUGAAACCUGUCCUGAAAAUAAUCAAUCAGGUUAAACAGAUUUGAGUGGGGGACAGUUCUGAAAUCUCUCUCAUAAAGUGACAUUUGAGAGAUCUGAACAAAAUACGGGGGAAGAGUAUUUCAGGCUAAGUGAACAGCAAGUACAAAGGCCCUGAGGCAGGAAGAAACAGGGCAAAUGGAAGGAAUAGCAAUUAGGUUAGUGUGGCUAAAGCAGGGAAAGCAUGGUAGAGGGUGAUGGAUGAGGAUGGGGAAGAGAGAUGGGAACCAGAUUAGAUAGGACGUCUACAGAUGGGGAUUGUGUUAUGAGGAUAAAUGGCACGAUCUGAUUUGUGCUUACAAAGACCUCCCUAGAGGUGAUUUGGACAAUAGACUGGGAGAGCGCAUGGAAGAGGUGGAAGCAGGGAGAGCAAUUAGGAGGCUACUGUAUAACCCAGGGCACGACGAUGGUGGCUUGGUCCAGGAGGGUUACAGCAGAGUUGGGGGUGGUUAAUUCUGAUGGUUUGAAGCUAGAGCUGACAAGACUCGCUGAGAGACUGGAAAAGGCAUUUGAGAAGAAGAGCAGCACAUGGAGGACACCUUUUGGGUUUUGGGCUCAGGGAACUGAACACUGGUACGAUUCUCUGACACAGGUAAGCAUGGGAGCGGAGUAUGGGGAAUAGGUUUUGGGGGCCAGGUGUGUUGAGUUUGAUAGACAGUUGAACGUGAGUCUGGAGGUCUAGGCUGGAGAUGGAAAUUUUGCAGUCAUCAACACAUAGGUAUUGGAAAUCACCCCUGGGGGGCCAGCCCAGUGGCGCAGCGGUUAAGUGCGCACGAUCCACUUCAGUGGCCUGGGGUUCACCGGUUUGGAUCCCGGGUGAGGACAUGGCACUGCUUGGCAAGCCAUGCUGUGGCAGGCGUCCCACAUAGAAAGUAGAGGCAGAUGGGCACGGAUGUUAGCUCAGGGCCAGUCUUCCUCAGCAAAAAGAGGAGGAUUGGCAGUGGAUGUUAGCUCAGGGCCAGUCUUCCUCAGCAAAAAUAAAAAUAAAAAUAAAUAAAAAAUAUUUAAAAAAAAAAUCACUCCAAGGGAGUCAGUAUGGACAGGAAAGAGCACUGCAGACUAUGGCUUGGGGCCUACAGCAACUGGCGGAUAGAAGGAGCAGCCCACAGGGAAGACAGAAGCAGCCAGAGAAGUGAGGGAGAUCAGGAAAGCCUGGCGUCCAGGAAGCCAAGCGAAGAAAGUAGAUUCUGUAUGAUCACAACCAAGUGUCAACUUCUGAGCCUCAGUUUCCUCAUCUGUGAAAUGGAGACAGUCACAACUGCCUACUUCACAGAGUUGUUAGGCUUGUGUCCUGCUGGCAUAUAGUAAACUCCCGGUCUAUUGUUAGCAUCCCCCCAUAGCAGCGGUGGCUGCCAGAGCCCUCAGCUCCUCCAUCCAGACAAACGGCAGCACCUCGGUGACUCUUCCUCAGGAGUGAGGUGUCCCUGCUCACUCAGGCAGCAGGUGGGCCUGAGGAGUGGCCUCUGGGCCAAAUCUGAACCAAGAGACCUCAGCGCCUAAGCCUCUCAUCCACACAGCCUCCAGCCUUUUACCUGUAAAUCAGAAAGGGGAAAACUUGGUAAAUAAAGGUUUUGGAGUCCGAAUUCUGCCUCUGCCUCUCACCAGCUGUGGGGUCUUAGGCAAGCUUCUUCUCUUCGUGAGCCUUGAACUCUUUACCUAUGAGAUGGGGACAACUCCCACUUUACAGGAUUGUGUCCAGGCCGGUGCAGAUGGCAAAAAGGCGCCUUCUCUCCUGCUUGCGGGCCCGCGAGUUAGCGAGGCUCCCUGCCACCCUCCCACUUAGGGCAUGUAACCUCGCGAGGCAGGAUGCACUAGGAGAGGCACCCCCCCAACACACCCAACACACCGCGCCCUCUGCGGUCCCCCAGCCUGGGCUAGAGGAGAGAAGCGGGGCCUCAUGCACUUUCUUUUCCGCAGGGCGCCGGGGAAGGCCCAUCUUUCGGCUGGGCCCCCGCAAUGGCAGUGGGGCCUAGGGGUAGGAGGGACGGGGCACCGAACGUCCCAGAGAAUCCUCCGCCGCUGUCCCACCCUCCACGGGCGUCGAAGCCCAUUUCCUGGGCAACCUUUCUCCGCCCCUCCCCCCCGGCCACCAGGCUGGAACGCCGCGGCGGCCCCCAACCCUCAGGACAACCCGCCUGCUCUCCUCUCUGCCCUCUGCUCCGCCGCCGCGCUGCAGGCCCAGCCCGCACCCCAGCCCCGAGCAUCCGAGGAAGUGGCGGCGCAUCUCGAGGUCGGCUAGCAGGGGGGAGAGGGGGCGCGGCUUUCCAGCGACCGAAGUCCCACGCGAAGACCCAGGAGAGGGGCGGUGCGCCGCCGGGCGGUGGAUCCGGAGGCGGAGCCUCCCCUGGAGACGGCCCCGCCCCUGCAGCCCCCAGGGCGGAGGCCCCGCCCCGCGCCCGGGGCCAGAAAAACUCCGCUCCGGCCCCGCCCCGCCGGCGGCCCCGCCCCUGCAGCCCCCUCCCGGCCCUGCAGCCCCACCCGAGGCCCCGCCCCUGCAGCCCCCCCUCCCACCCCUGCAGCCCCCUCCCGAGGUCCC
RNAcentral lists this long non-coding RNA (4410 nucleotides) under Equus asinus (donkey). RNAcentral describes it as "lncRNA (ENSEASG00005036743.1)". Lineage: Eukaryota; Metazoa; Chordata; Mammalia; Perissodactyla; Equidae. The record is from RNAcentral.